UAAUUUGAGAGUUUGAUCCUGGCUCAGGACGAACGCUGGUGGCGUGCCUAAUACAUGCAAGUCGAACGAACUCUGGUAUUGAUUGGUGCUUGCAUCAUGAUUUACAUUUGAGUGAGUGGCGAACUGGUGAGUAACACGUGGGAAACCUGCCCAGAAGAGGGGGAUAACACCUGGAAACAGAUGCUAAUACCGCAUAACAACUUGGACCGCAUGGUCCGAGUUUGAAAGAUGGCUUCGGCUAUCACUUUUGGAUGGUCCCGCGGCGUAUUAGCUAGAUGGUGAGGUAACGGCUCACCAUGGCAAUGAUACGUAGCCGACCUGAGAGGGUAAUCGGCCACAUUGGGACUGAGACACGGCCCAAACUCCUACGGGAGGCAGCAGUAGGGAAUCUUCCACAAUGGACGAAAGUCUGAUGGAGCAACGCCGCGUGAGUGAAGAAGGGUUUCGGCUCGUAAAACUCUGUUGUUAAAGAAGAACAUAUCUGAGAGUAACUGUUCAGGUAUUGACGGUAUUUAACCAGAAAGCCACGGCUAACUACGUGCCAGCAGCCGCGGUAAUACGUAGGUGGCAAGCGUUGUCCGGAUUUAUUGGGCGUAAAGCGAGCGCAGGCGGUUUUUUAAGUCUGAUGUGAAAGCCUUCGGCUCAACCGAAGAAGUGCAUCGGAAACUGGGAAACUUGAGUGCAGAAGAGGACAGUGGAACUCCAUGUGUAGCGGUGAAAUGCGUAGAUAUAUGGAAGAACACCAGUGGCGAAGGCGGCUGUCUGGUCUGUAACUGACGCUGAGGCUCGAAAGUAUGGGUAGCAAACAGGAUUAGAUACCCUGGUAGUCCAUACCGUAAACGAUGAAUGCUAAGUGUUGGAGGGUUUCCGCCCUUCAGUGCUGCAGCUAACGCAUUAAGCAUUCCGCCUGGGGAGUACGGCCGCAAGGCUGAAACUCAAAGGAAUUGACGGGGGCCCGCACAAGCGGUGGAGCAUGUGGUUUAAUUCGAAGCUACGCGAAGAACCUUACCAGGUCUUGACAUACUAUGCAAAUCUAAGAGAUUAGACGUUCCCUUCGGGGACAUGGAUACAGGUGGUGCAUGGUUGUCGUCAGCUCGUGUCGUGAGAUGUUGGGUUAAGUCCCGCAACGAGCGCAACCCUUAUUAUCAGUUGCCAGCAUUAAGUUGGGCACUCUGGUGAGACUGCCGGUGACAAACCGGAGGAAGGUGGGGAUGACGUCAAAUCAUCAUGCCCCUUAUGACCUGGGCUACACACGUGCUACAAUGGAUGGUACAACGAGUUGCGAACUCGCGAGAGUAAGCUAAUCUCUUAAAGCCAUUCUCAGUUCGGAUUGUAGGCUGCAACUCGCCUACAUGAAGUCGGAAUCGCUAGUAAUCGCGGAUCAGCAUGCCGCGGUGAAUACGUUCCCGGGCCUUGUACACACCGCCCGUCACACCAUGAGAGUUUGUAACACCCAAAGUCGGUGGGGUAACCUUUUAGGAACCAGCCGCCUAAGGUGGGACAGAUGAUUAGGGUGAAGUCGUAACAAGGUAGCCGUAGGAGAACCUGCGGCUGGAUCACCUCCUUU
Molecule: ribosomal RNA, 1567 nt
Filed under: Lactiplantibacillus argentoratensis
Lineage: Bacteria; Bacillati; Bacillota; Bacilli; Lactobacillales; Lactobacillaceae
Description: 16S ribosomal RNA
Rfam family: Bacterial small subunit ribosomal RNA
Source: RNAcentral